CGACAAUCGGCUCCAUCCCUUGCUCAACAGCUGAUGGUAGUAUUCCUUCCUGUGUCUCAAUAUGACCCUAUCGUCGUCGCCUACGUCGAUAUACAAUAUCAUCGCGACGAACCUGCAACGUAGAUGGAACGUCAGAAAGAUAGAUAGACGUGAAUGAAAUAUCAAAAUAUAAUACCUCUGACGUAGAUGGAAUAUUAAAUAGAGGGAUGGAUGCGAAGGGGCAUCAGAAGUUGAAGGGACAUUAGAUGGAUGAAUUGGGACAGAUGUCGAUGGAAAAUUAUACGCAGGCAUCGAGGUGGAGGGAAUAUCACCGAAAUCAUAUGCAGGCGCGGACGUGGAGGGAAUAUCACCGAAAUCAUAUGCAGGUGUGGAGGUGGAGGGAAUAUCACCGAAAUCAUAUGUAGGUGUGGAGGUGGAGGGAAU
RNAcentral lists this long non-coding RNA (423 nucleotides) under Ananas comosus (pineapple). RNAcentral's name for it is "long non-coding RNA (ACOM_LNC028232)". The record is from RNAcentral. Lineage: Eukaryota; Viridiplantae; Streptophyta; Magnoliopsida; Poales; Bromeliaceae.